UAACUGGUGGACUAGCAAAGU
RNAcentral lists this non-coding RNA (21 nucleotides) under Arabidopsis thaliana (thale cress). The record is from RNAcentral. Lineage: Eukaryota; Viridiplantae; Streptophyta; Magnoliopsida; Brassicales; Brassicaceae.